UACAGAGGUCUCAAGCGUUGUUCGGAUUCAUUGGGCGUAAAGGGCGCGUAGGCGGCGUGGUAAGUCACUUGUGAAAUCUCUGAGCUUAACUCAGAACGGCCAAGUGAUACUGCUGUGCUAGAGUGCAGAAGGGGCAAUCGGAAUUCUUGGUGUAGCGGUGAAAUGCGUAGAUAUCAAGAGGAACACCUGAGGUGAAGACGGGUUGCUGGGCUGACACUGACGCUGAUGCGCGAAAGCCAGGGGAGCAAACGGG
Molecule: ribosomal RNA, 253 nt
Filed under: uncultured bacterium
Lineage: Bacteria
Description: partial 16S ribosomal RNA
Rfam family: Bacterial small subunit ribosomal RNA
Source: RNAcentral